AGCAUAAAAAAUUAUUAUUUUAAAUUUUAUUUUAUUAAAAAAUUAUACAUAUAUUAUUAUUUCAGUAUCAGAGUAGGAUUACUAUAUUCUUAUGAGUAUAGAACUUUUCGUACUCAUAAGUUAUUUUCGAUGACAGAACUUUCGAAUCGACGAUCCGUUUCGUUAAAUAUGAUAUAGAGUAUUUGAUACUCUUAAGAAAAAAUUUCGUAAGUUUUCGAAAUAAUAAUAAAGUCUAUCAAGCAGGUAUACAAUGAACAAUCAAAAUCGAACGAGGUUCUAAAGAUGUAUGAUCUGAUCCUUCAAUUUAAAAUCGGAGUUAUUGAUCUUUAUCUAUAUAGUGAAUAGAAUUUUCUAUGAACAAUUCAGCUGAUUCUGAUUCUUUUACACCGUAAACUAGCAAGUAUUUCAUACCGGCCAUUAAAAAUUGUCAAUUUUCAGAUCUUUUAAUCAUACGGUAGAUGAUGUUAAAAAAUUAUAAAAUUUGAUUUCUAAAAGUUUUAAAUACUCUAAAUAAUAUUUAACGACAUGCAUGGAUCGUCGAUUCGAAAGCUCUAUCAUCGAAAAUAACUUAUGAGUGCGAAAAUGAUUGUACUUAUAAAAGUACAAUAGCCAGACUCUCAGUAUCAUAUUAAAUUUUAGAUCAAAUUUAGUAAAUAUAAGUUUUCAAGUUUCACUUUUUAUAAGACUAAUAUAUGCAAUAG
Molecule: long non-coding RNA, 701 nt
Filed under: Ananas comosus (pineapple)
Lineage: Eukaryota; Viridiplantae; Streptophyta; Magnoliopsida; Poales; Bromeliaceae
Description: long non-coding RNA (ACOM_LNC009768)
Source: RNAcentral